Acanthochromis polyacanthus (spiny chromis) is the source of this 798-nucleotide long non-coding RNA. RefSeq lists it as uncharacterized. The transcript has 5 exons. Lineage: Eukaryota; Metazoa; Chordata; Actinopteri; Pomacentridae. The record is from RefSeq and is a predicted model, not a curated record.
UGCACAGCGUUACAAAUGUGCCACAAUUCCAGCCAAUCACAGACUUCUGAUUCUAUCCAAUCGGGUCCCUGUUUCGGCCGCCUCUCGGAAGCGCUGUUAAAAACGAUCGCUAAAUCAACUGGAGUUCUGCUAUAUACGCUGGACUACGACAGAUUUUCGAGCCACUGGACCCUCGUUUAAUUAGCCAAGAUUAGCAAAGCUGUACCAUGUCGGAUCCUGAACGACAACACAACGGUGCACCACAUCGACAUGUCUUGUACUUGGAUGCUGCAACAAAUAACAAAGCACAAACUGCAUUCUCAUUCUUCAUCACAUCGGUCCAGCUUCAUGGCUUACCGUCAAGGGUUAGGGCAGAUCAGGGAGUAGAAAACCUGGAUAUUGCACAUUUCAUGUUUGCCACACGAGGAACAGGAAGAUCGAGCUUCAUCUCUGGAAAAAGUACCAUGACAUUCUUCACUCUCUGGAAGAGGAUGGUCUACUUGACAUAUCUAAUGCCACUCUUCUCUUUGGUGUGCACUACGUCUUUGUCCCCGACUCCGGGCAGAUCUUGAUACCUUUAUUGAAGGAUGGAAUAAUCAUUCUCUGCGGACAGAGGGAGGUCUCACCCCUGAACAGCUGUGGUGCAUGGGACGUCUACAAGAUCUGGAUGAGGGGGAGAGACUCGAGGACCUUCAGGACCCAGGCAUUGACUGGCAGAGUGCUGUGCUGCAGGAAGACUCUCAUGGCACAGUUGUGGUUCCGGAAUUUGAGUGCCCACUGGAUGAUGAAGCCCUGGAAGAACUUCAGAGAACUAUCAAC